Molecule: long non-coding RNA, 1041 nt
Filed under: Serinus canaria (Common canary)
Lineage: Eukaryota; Metazoa; Chordata; Aves; Passeriformes; Fringillidae
Description: lncRNA (ENSSCAG00000001561.1)
Source: RNAcentral
GGUGGGGACAGGGACAGAGCCAUGGAGACAGGGACAGAGCCAUGGGGACAGGGACAGGCCAUGGGGACAGGGACAGGCCAUGGGGACCCGGGCGGGGGGCAGGGACAAAGAGGGGACCGGGACAGGCCAUGGGGACAGGGACAGAGCCAUGGGGAUAGGGACAGGCUGCAGGGACAAGGAUAGAGCUUUAGGGACAGGUUAUAGGAACAGGGAUAGAGCCCCGGGAACAGAGCUGUGGGGACAGGCCAUGGGGACAGGGACAGAGCCAUGGGGACAGGGAUGACAGAGCUAUGGGGACAGGCCAUGGGGAUGGGAACAAUCAAUGGGGACAAGGGCAGAGCUGUGGGGACAGUGACAAGCCGUGGGGACAGGGGGUACAGAGUCAGGGAGACAGGGAGAAACUGCAGGGAUGGGGACAGGGACACGGCCAUGGGGAGAGGGAGGAAGAGCAGAACCCGGGGCAUGGUGGUGGUGGCGGCUCUCAGAGGGGGCUGUGGAGGUGGGAGAAGGACAGAGAAGGUCAGACCCCCGUGGCUGCAGCCCCCCGUGCCCACUUUGUGCCCCGGCUCCUCACCCGCUCGCCGCUGUCCCCUGCCCUGUCCGGUUGUCCGGUCACUGCGGCCAGGCCGGCCCCGUGACCCCUUUAUAGCCGUGGUUAUCUGGGAGUUGCGACACGGGGACAGGGACUGGGCACUCCCUGGGGCCAGGGCGGCUCGAGCCCCCAGCCCCCCUGCAGACCCACACACACCCAAGGAGGGCAAAAGUCACUUUUAUUUAUUUAGGCCCUGUCUAGAUUUAAAAAGUUUUAAGAAAAAAAAGAACCCGAAACCCCAACAGCUGAGGGAAAAGGGAGGGAAUUCAGGGUAAAUGGUGACAGCAGGGGAAGGGGGGGAAGGUGGAGAAACUGGUUGCUGGUGCAGCCUUUAAGAACAGCAUCAAAACCUGCAGAAGGAAAUCUGCAGAAACCCCAGAAAAUCUGUAGAAACCCAAGAAAAACUGCAGAAAAGCUGCAGCAAUCCAAUAAAAUCUGCAAAAAGCCCA